This 301-nucleotide ribosomal RNA is filed under the name uncultured bacterium. RNAcentral describes it as "partial 16S ribosomal RNA". It matches the Rfam family "Bacterial small subunit ribosomal RNA", at positions 509 to 808 of the family's 1533-position model. The record is from RNAcentral.
CAGCCGCCGCGGUAAUACGGAGGGAGCUAGCGUUGUUCGGAAUUACUGGGCGUAAAGCGCGCGCAGGCGGUUUGUUAAGACAGAUGUGAAAUCCCCGGGCUUAACCUGGGAACUGCAUUUGAAACUGGCAGGCUAGAGUCUUGUAGAGGGGGGUAGAAUUCCAGGUGUAGCGGUGAAAUGCGUAGAGAUCUGGAGGAAUACCGGUGGCGAAGGCGGCCCCUGGACAAAGACUGACGCUCAGGUGCGAAAGCGUGGGGAGCAAACAGGAUUAGAUACCCGGGUAGUCCCUGUCUCUUAUACA